This 236-nucleotide ribosomal RNA is filed under the name uncultured bacterium. RNAcentral's name for it is "partial 16S ribosomal RNA". It matches the Rfam family "Bacterial small subunit ribosomal RNA", at positions 524 to 759 of the family's 1533-position model. The record is from RNAcentral.
UACGAAGGGGGCUAGCGUUGUUCGGAAUCACUGGGCGUAAAGGGCGCGUAGGCGGCUUUAUAAGUCGGGGGUGAAAUCCUGGAGCUCAACUCCAGAACUGCCUUCGAUACUGGCGAUCUCGAGUUCGGGAGAGGUGAGUGGAACUGCGAGUGUAGAGGUGAAAUUCGUAGAUAUUCGCAAGAACACCAGUGGCGAAGGCGGCUCACUGGCCCGAUACUGACGCUGAGGUGCGAAAG